This 1124-nucleotide ribosomal RNA is filed under the name uncultured bacterium. Its description in RNAcentral is "bacterial SSU rRNA". It matches the Rfam family "Bacterial small subunit ribosomal RNA", at positions 47 to 1162 of the family's 1533-position model. The record is from RNAcentral.
AUUGAUUUUAUGCUUGCAUAAAUGAUUUUUUGGAUUCGGAGCGAGUGGCGAACUGGUGAGUAACACGUGGGUAACCUGCCCCGAAGCGGAGGAUAACAUUUGGAAACAAGCGCUAAUACCGCAUAAUUAGUUGGAACCGCAUGGUUCCAACUUGAAAGAUGGCUCUGCUAUCACUUUGGGAUGGACCCGCGCCGUAUUAGUUAGUUGGUGAGAUAAAAGCCCACCAAGACGAUGAUACGUAGCCGACCUGAGAGGGUAAUCGGCCACAUUGGGACUGAGACACGGCCCAGACUCCUACGGGAGGCAGCAGUAGGGAAUCUUCCACAAUGGACGAAAGUCUGAUGGAGCAACGCCGCGUGAGUGAUGAAGGUUUUCGGAUCGUAAAACUCUGUUGUUAAAGAAGAACAAGUGUUAGAGUAACUGUUAACACUUUGACGGUAUUUAACCAGAAAGCCACGGCUAACUACGUGCCAGCAGCCGCGGUAAUACGUAGGUGGCAAGCGUUGUCCGGAUUUAUUGGGCGUAAAGCGAGCGCAGGCGGUUUUGUAAGUCUGCUGUGAAAGCCCUCAGCUCAACUGAGGAAGUGCAGUGGAAACUACAAAACUUGAGUACAGAAGAGGAAAGUGGAACUCCAUGUGUAGCGGUGAAAUGCGUAGAUAUAUGGAAGAACACCAGUGGCGAAGGCGGCUUUCUGGUCUGUUACUGACGCUGAGGCUCGAAAGCAUGGGUAGCGAACAGGAUUAGAUACCCUGGUAGUCCAUGCCGUAAACGAUGAAUACUAGGUGUUGGAGGGUUUCCGCCCUUCAGUGCCGCAGCUAACGCAUUAAGUAUUCCGCCUGGGGAGUACGACCGCAAGGUUGAAACUCAAAGGAAUUGACGGGGGCCCGCACAAGUGGUGGAGCAUGUGGUUUAAUUCGAUGCUACGCGAAGAACCUUACCAGCUCUUGACAUCUUCUGCCAACCCAAGAGAUUGGGCGUUCCCUUCGGGGACAGAAUGACAGGUGGUGCAUGGUUGUCGUCAGCUCGUGUCGUGAGAUGUUGGGUUAAGUCCCGCAACGGGCGCAACCCUUAUUAUUAGUUGCCAGCAUUUAGUUGGGCACUCUAGUGAGACUGCCGGUGAUAAA